UCUUCAGUGAGGUACAUCCUUACCUGUUACUUCCUACCAAGGAGUAUCAGAACAUGAUGAAUGGAGACUCAUGAGAUAUGAUUAAUAUCUCCAUCUUGUAGGGAACAGCAACACCCUACAAGACCCAUUCUGAC
Small nucleolar RNA from Sebastes umbrosus (honeycomb rockfish), 134 nucleotides. RefSeq annotates it as U8 small nucleolar RNA. The record is from RefSeq and is a predicted model, not a curated record. The transcript has a single exon. NCBI's taxonomy places the organism in Eukaryota, Metazoa, Chordata, Actinopteri, Perciformes, Sebastidae.